CCUUUGCCUCGUCUUCCUUCAGGAAUCUACGCCUGAAGCAAGGCGAGGUGAAGAGA
Molecule: microRNA precursor, 56 nt
Filed under: Heligmosomoides polygyrus
Lineage: Eukaryota; Metazoa; Nematoda; Chromadorea; Rhabditida; Heligmosomidae
Description: microRNA hpo-mir-10095 precursor
Source: miRBase by way of RNAcentral